Molecule: ribosomal RNA, 292 nt
Filed under: uncultured bacterium
Lineage: Bacteria
Description: partial 16S ribosomal RNA
Rfam family: Archaeal small subunit ribosomal RNA
Source: RNAcentral
GUGUCAGCAGCCGCGGUAAUACCAGCACCCCGAGUGGUCGGGACGAUUAUUGGGCCUAAAGCAUCCGUAGCCGGUCUUGCAAGUCUUCCGUUAAAUCCACCUGCUUAACAGAUGGGCUGCGGAAGAUACUACAAGACUAGGAGGCGGGAGAGGCAAGCGGUACUCAGUGGGUAGGGGUAAAAUCCUCUGAUCCAUUGAAGACCACCAGUGGCGAAGGCGGCUUGCCAGAACGCGCUCGACGGUGAGGGAUGAAAGCUGGGGGAGCAAACCGGAUUAGAUACCCCCGUAGUCC